AGAAUCAACGCUGGCGGCGUGCCUAACACAUGCAAGUCGCACGAGAAAGUGGAGCAAUCCACGAGUACAGUGGCGCACGGGUGAGUAACACGUGACUUAUCUACCUCCGAGUGGGGAAUAACUGAGAGAAAUCUUAGCUAAUACCGCAUAACACUUACGAGUCAAAGCAGCAAUGCGCUUGGAGAGGAGGUCGCGGCCGAUUAGCUAGUUGGCGGGUAAUGGCCCACCAAGGCGAUGAUCGGUA
RNAcentral lists this ribosomal RNA (244 nucleotides) under uncultured bacterium. RNAcentral's name for it is "partial small subunit ribosomal RNA". It matches the Rfam family "Bacterial small subunit ribosomal RNA", at positions 26 to 285 of the family's 1533-position model. The record is from RNAcentral.